CAGUAGCCGCGGUAAAACGUAGGGUGCGAGCGUUAAUCGGAAUUACUGGGCGUAAAGCGGGCGCAGACGGUUACUUAAGCAGGAUGUGAAAUCCCCGGGCUCAACCUGGGAACUGCGUUCUGAACUGGGUGACUAGAGUGUGUCAGAGGGAGGUAGAAUUCCACGUGUAGCAGUGAAAUGCGUAGAGAUGUGGAGGAAUACCGAUGGCGAAGGCAGCCUCCUGGGAUAACACUGACGUUCAUGCCCGAAAGCGUGGGUAGCAAACAGGAUUAGAUACCCCAGUAGUCCCUGUCUCUUAUAC
Molecule: ribosomal RNA, 301 nt
Filed under: uncultured bacterium
Lineage: Bacteria
Description: partial 16S ribosomal RNA
Rfam family: Bacterial small subunit ribosomal RNA
Source: RNAcentral